CCUGGCAUGCUGCACUGUCCUG
RNAcentral lists this microRNA (22 nucleotides) under Gallus gallus (chicken). Its description in RNAcentral is "gga-miR-1801 (MIR1801)". The record is from RNAcentral. Lineage: Eukaryota; Metazoa; Chordata; Aves; Galliformes; Phasianidae.